Molecule: ribosomal RNA, 815 nt
Filed under: uncultured crenarchaeote
Lineage: Archaea; Thermoproteati; Thermoproteota
Description: bacterial SSU rRNA
Rfam family: Archaeal small subunit ribosomal RNA
Source: RNAcentral
UGCGAGUCAACGCCGCAAGGCGUGGCAUACGGCUCAGUAACACGUAGUCAACAUGCCCAAAGGACGUGGAUAACCUCGGGAAACUGAGGAUAAACCGCGAUAGGCCAAGGUUUCUGGAAUGAGCCAUGGCCGAAAUCUAUAUGGCCUUUGGAUUGGACUGCGGCCGAUCAGGCUGUUGGUGAGGUAAUGGCCCACCAAACCUGUAACCGGUACGGGCUUUGAGAGAAGGAGCCCGGAGAUGGGCACUGAGACAAGGGCCCAGGCCCUAUGGGGCGCAGCAGGCGCGAAACCUCUGCAAUAGGCGAAAGCCUGACAGGGUUACUCUGAGUGAUGCCCGCUAAGGGUAUCUUUUGGCACCUCUAAAAAUGGUGCAGAAUAAGGGGUGGGCAAGUCUGGUGUCAGCCGCCGCGGUAAUACCAGCACCCCGAGUUGUCGGGACGAUUAUUGGGCCUAAAGCAUCCGUAGCCUGUUCUGCAAGUCCUCCGUUAAAUCCACCUGCUCAACGGAUGGGCUGCGGAGGAAACCGCAGAGCUAGGAGGCGGGAGAGGCAAACGGUACUCAGUGGGUAGGGGUAAAAUCCAUUGAUCUACUGAAGACCACCAGUGGCGAAGGCGGUUUGCCAGAACGCGCUCGACGGUGAGGGAUGAAAGCUGGGGGAGCAAACCGGAUUAGAUACCCGGGUAGUCCCAGCUGUAAACGAUGCAGACUCGGUGAUGGGUUGGCUUCGAGCCAACCCAGUGCCGCAGGGAAGCCGUUAAGUCUGCCGCCUGGGGAGUACGGUCGCAAAACUGAAACUUAAAGGAAUUGGCGGGGGA